GAUCGGGCAGUUGGGGAAAUAUUUUAUUGUAGUUAAAAAGAGGAAAACCGAUUA
Molecule: transfer RNA, 54 nt
Filed under: Plagiorhynchus transversus
Lineage: Eukaryota; Metazoa; Acanthocephala; Palaeacanthocephala; Polymorphida; Plagiorhynchidae
Description: tRNA-Tyr
Source: RNAcentral